GAUGAACGCUGGCGGCGUGCCUAAUACAUGCAAGUCGAGCGAACGGACGAGAAGCUUGCUUCUCUGAUGUUAGCGGCGGACGGGUGAGUAACACGUGGAUAACCUACCUAUAAGACUGGGAUAACUUCGGGAAACCGGAGCUAAUACCGGAUAAUAUUUUGAACCGCAUGGUUCAAAAGUGAAAGACGGUCUUGCUGUCACUUAUAGAUGGAUCCGCGCUGCAUUAGCUAGUUGGUAAGGUAACGGCUUACCAAGGCAACGAUGCAUAGCCGACCUGAGAGGGGGAUCGGCCACAGUAGAACUGAGACAGGGCCCAGACUCCGGGGGGAGGACGCAGUAGGAAAUCUUCGGCAAUGGGCGAAAGCCGGAGGGAGCAACGCCGGGGGAGUGAGGAAGGUGUUCGGAUCGUAAAACUGUUUAAUUAGGGAAAAAAAUAUGUGUAAGUAACUGGGCACAUCUGGACGGUACCUAAUAAGAAAGCCCCGGCUAACUACGUG
RNAcentral lists this ribosomal RNA (497 nucleotides) under uncultured bacterium. RNAcentral describes it as "partial 16S ribosomal RNA". It matches the Rfam family "Bacterial small subunit ribosomal RNA", at positions 28 to 507 of the family's 1533-position model. The record is from RNAcentral.